GAAUUUUAUAUAUAAUAUUUUUUUUAUUAGUUUAGAUUAGUAAGAGUAGUGUAUAUUUAAUUGGGAGGAUUGUUAAAUUAAUAGAACUUUAAUUAAUGUAAGAAUAUAGAUUAUUAAAAUUAAUUAAGAGGGAAAAUUUAAUUAAAUAAGAAUUAAUUACCUUAGGGAUAACAGCGUGAUAGUUUUGGAAAGAUCAUAUUUAUAAAAUUGAUUGC
This 215-nucleotide ribosomal RNA is filed under the name Mycetomoellerius farinosus. RNAcentral's name for it is "partial large subunit ribosomal RNA". Lineage: Eukaryota; Metazoa; Arthropoda; Insecta; Hymenoptera; Formicidae. The record is from RNAcentral.